GGGGUUGUGGCUCAGUGGUAGAGCACUAGCCUAGCACGUGUGAGGCCCUGGGUUCGAUUCUCAGAACCACA
Molecule: non-coding RNA, 71 nt
Organism: Ictidomys tridecemlineatus (thirteen-lined ground squirrel)
Lineage: Eukaryota; Metazoa; Chordata; Mammalia; Rodentia; Sciuridae
Source: Rfam